GAUGAAGAACGCAGCGAAAUGCGAUAAGUAAUGUGAAUUGCAGAAUUCAGUGAAUCAUCGAAUCUUUGAACGCACCUUGCGCUCCUUGGUAUUCCGAGGAGCAUGCCUGUUUGAGUGUCAUUAAUAUAUCAACCUCUUCAGCUUAUCCUUGUUGAGUGUUGGAUGGUGGGGGUUUGCUGGUGUCUUAUGAAGUCAGCUCCUCUGAAAUGCAUUAGCGGAACAAUUUGUUGACCGUUCAUUGGUGUGAUAAAAAUAUCUACGCUAUUGACGUCAGUCAGUUCAGCUUCUAACAGUCCAUUGACUUGGACAAAUUUUUCAUUAAUGUGACCUCAAAUCAGGUAGGACUACCCGCUGAACUUAAGCAUAUCAAUAAGCGGAGGA
Molecule: unclassified non-coding RNA, 381 nt
Filed under: soil metagenome
Description: partial contains 5.8S ribosomal RNA, internal transcribed spacer 2, and large subunit ribosomal RNA
Rfam family: 5.8S ribosomal RNA (bases 1-120)
Source: RNAcentral